GUCACCUGUAUAAUAUAUGUUAAGGUCAAGGUCAUCGGAGCUGACUCUCCUAUAAUGCAUAAUUACCGAAACUUUAAGUACUUGUUGAAUCUUGUCCGUCAAUAAAAUCGUAAAUAUAUCGUCAACAUAUCUGUAAAAAAGUUUUAUAUCAAAAUCCAAGGUCUCUAUACAAUGUGACUCUAAAUCAUCCAUCACAAUGUUUGCCGUAAUUGGUGAUAAUGGUGACUCCAUAGGACUACCAAAGACUUGACUAUAAAACUUUCCGUCAAAGUUGCAGAUAUAAAACACCAUCUUUUCCUUAUACCUUUCAUAACCAGUUGGUUAUAAAAGGUAUAAGGAGUUCCUUGGGUAUGUUGGUGAACAACGAAACCACGUCAAGAGAAACCAUAGAUUCAUUUGUUUCAAUAGUCACGUUGCGGACACCAUCAACAAAACUCCAACUAUCUUUAAUGUACGACCUGGGUUUCGGAAUAGAAUCGGUCAAUAUUUUAUGGAAGAAAUAAGCCACAUCGUACAAAGGAGUGUCAAUUGCAGAAACUAUAAUGCGUAGAGGAUAACCUGGCUUAUGUAUUUUUGCAUUUCACUCAUCUGCUCGACGUAGCUCUUCCUGUCCAAAACGACCGUAACCUGGCCUUUGUCCGCUCUUGUCACCAUUAAAUCAUCAUUUUCUCUUAAAAAUUGUUUACAAGUGUCCAAAGCUUUAUAUAAAUAAUUGUCAAUAACACUAUUCUGAUGUCUGUUAUUUAAAAAUCUACUA
This is a long non-coding RNA of Ooceraea biroi (clonal raider ant), 757 nucleotides long. RefSeq lists it as uncharacterized. NCBI's taxonomy places the organism in Eukaryota, Metazoa, Arthropoda, Insecta, Hymenoptera, Formicidae. The record is from RefSeq and is a predicted model, not a curated record.